Molecule: ribosomal RNA, 422 nt
Filed under: Xanthomonas citri pv. citri
Lineage: Bacteria; Pseudomonadati; Pseudomonadota; Gammaproteobacteria; Lysobacterales; Lysobacteraceae
Description: partial 23S ribosomal RNA
Rfam family: Bacterial large subunit ribosomal RNA
Source: RNAcentral
CCCUGGGUUAGUCGGGACCUAAGGCGAGGCCGAAAGGCGUAGUCGAUGGACAACUGGUUGAUAUUCCAGUACUAGAUAUGAUCGUGAUGGAGGGACGCAGUAGGCUAAGAGAUGCCAGUUAAUGGAUUCUGGUCUAAGCAGUGAGGUGUGAGAUGUGUCAAAUGCAUUUCUCUCUAACAUUGAGCUGUGAUGGGGAAGCAACUACGGUUGCUAACUCUCUGAUGUCACACUGCCAAGAAAAGCUUCUAGCGUAAAGUCAUAUCUACCCGUACCGCAAACCGACACAGGUAGUCGAGGCGAGUAGCCUCAGGUGAUCGAGAGAACUCUCGUUAAGGAACUCGGCAAAAUAGCCCCGUAACUUCGGGAGAAGGGGUGCUGGUGUAAAAGCCAGCCGCAGUGAAUAGGCCCAAGCAACUGUUUAU